AUGCUGACAUAAGUAACGAUAAAGCGGGUGAAAAGCCCGCUCGCCGGAAGACCAAGGGUUCCUGUCCAACGUUAAUCGGGGCAGGGUGAGUCGACCCCUAAGGCGAGGCCGAAAGGCGUAGUCGAUGGGAAACGGGUUAAUAUUCCCGUACUUGGUGUUACUGCGAAGGGGGGACGGAGAAGGCUAUGUUGGCCGGGCGACGGUUGUCCCGGUUUAAGCGUGUAGGUGUGUGUUCCAGGUAAAUCCGGUUCACUUUAACACUGAGGCGUGAUGACGAGGCACUACGGUGCUGAAGCAACAAAUGCCCUGCUUCCAGGAAAAGCCUCUAAGCAUCAGGUAACAUCAAAUCGUACCCCAAACCGACACAGGUGGUCAGGUAGAGAAUACCAAGGCGCUUGAGAGAACUCGGGUGAAGGAACUAGGCAAAAUGGUGCCGUAACUUCGGGAGAAGGCACGCUGACACGUAGGUGAAGUGAUUUACUCAUGGAGCUGAAGUCAGUCGAAGAUACCAGCUGGCUGCAACUGUUUAUUAAAAACACAGCACUGUGCAAACACGAAAGUGGACGUAUACGGUGUGACGCCUGCCCGGUGCCGGAAGGUUAAUUGAUGGGGUCAGCGCAAGCGAAGCUCCUGAUCGAAGCCCCGGUAAACGGCGGCCGUAACUAUAACGGUCCUAAGGUAGCGAAAUUCCUUGUCGGGUAAGUUCCGACCUGCACGAAUGGCGUAAUGAUGGCCAGGCUGUCUCCACCCGAGACUCAGUGAAAUUGAACUCGCUGUGAAGAUGCAGUGUACCCGCGGCAAGACGGAAAGACCCCGUGAACCUUUACUAUAGCUUGACACUGAACAUUGAGCCUUGAUGUGUAGGAUAGGUGGGAGGCUUUGAAGCGUGGACGCCAGUCUGCGUGGAGCCGACCUUGAAAUACCACCCUUUAAUGUUUGAUGUUCUAACGUGGACCCGUAAUCCGGGUUGCGGACAGUGUCUGGUGGGUAGUUUGACUGGGGCGGUCUCCUCCUAAAGAGUAACGGAGGAGCACGAAGGUUGGCUAAUCCUGGUCGGACAUCAGGAGGUUAGUGCAAUGGCAUAAGCCAGCUUGACUGCGAGCGUGACGGCGCGAGCAGGUGCGAAAGCAGGUCAUAGUGAUCCGGUGGUUCUGAAUGGAAGGGCCAUCGCUCAACGGAUAAAAGGUACUCCGGGGAUAACAGGCUGAUACCGCCCAAGAGUUCAUAUCGACGGCGGUGUUUGGCACCUCGAUGUCGGCUCAUCACAUCCUGGGGCUGAAGUAGGUCCCAAGGGUAUGGCUGUUCGCCAUUUAAAGUGGUACGCGAGCUGGGUUUAGAACGUCGUGAGACAGUUCGGUCCCUAUCUGCCGUGGGCGCUGGAGAACUGAGGGGGGCUGCUCCUAGUACGAGAGGACCGGAGUGGACGCAUCACUGGUGUUCGGGUUGUCAUGCCAAUGGCACUGCCCGGUAGCUAAAUGCGGAAGAGAUAAGUGCUGAAAGCAUCUAAGCACGAAACUUGCCCCGGGAUGAGUUCUCCCUGAGACUUAGAGUCUCCUGAAGGAACGUUGAAGACGACGACGUUGAUAGGCCGGGUGUGUAAGCGCAGCGAUGCGUUGAGCUAACCGGUACUAAUGAACCGUGAGGCUUAACCUU
Molecule: ribosomal RNA, 1653 nt
Filed under: Salmonella enterica subsp. enterica serovar Paratyphi B
Lineage: Bacteria; Pseudomonadati; Pseudomonadota; Gammaproteobacteria; Enterobacterales; Enterobacteriaceae
Description: partial 23S ribosomal RNA
Rfam family: Bacterial large subunit ribosomal RNA
Source: RNAcentral